This 259-nucleotide ribosomal RNA is filed under the name uncultured prokaryote. Its description in RNAcentral is "partial 16S ribosomal RNA". It matches the Rfam family "Bacterial small subunit ribosomal RNA", at positions 524 to 782 of the family's 1533-position model. The record is from RNAcentral.
UACGUAGGUGGCGAGCGUUGUCCGGAUUUACUGGGCGUAAAGGGAGCGUAGGCGGACUUUUAAGUGAGAUGUGAAAUACCCGGGCUCAACUUGGGUGCUGCAUUUCAAACUGGAAGUCUAGAGUGCAGGAGAGGAGAAUGGAAUUCCAUGUGUAGCGGUGAAAUGCGUAGAUAUAUGGAGGAACACCAGUGGCGAAGGCGACUCUCUGGUCUGUAACUGACGCUGAGGCUCGAAAGCGUGGGGAGCAAACAGGAUUAGA